This 246-nucleotide small nuclear RNA is filed under the name Castor canadensis (American beaver). Its description in RNAcentral is "7SK RNA (ENSCCNG00000013924.1)". It matches the Rfam family "7SK RNA". Rfam says of the family: 7SK was discovered as an abundant small nuclear RNA in the mid-70s but a possible function has only recently been suggested. Two independent studies have found that 7SK RNA binds the CDK9/cyclin T complex (known as elongation factor P-TEFb). Lineage: Eukaryota; Metazoa; Chordata; Mammalia; Rodentia; Castoridae. The record is from RNAcentral.
GGAUGUGAGGGUGAUCUAGCUGCGAUAUCUGUCACCCCAUUGAUUGCCAGGAUUGAUUCAGCUGAUCUGGCUGCUAGGCAGGUGUCCCCUUCCUCCCUCACUGCUCCAUGUGUGUCCCUCCUGAAGCUGCAUACUCAGAUGAAGAUGACAACCAUCCCCAACAGAGGAGAACUGCUCUUCCGUCAAGGGUAUAUGAGUUCUUCAGUUCUAUCCAUUUACUUGCAAAUGAUAAGAUUUCAUUUUUUU